This 253-nucleotide ribosomal RNA is filed under the name uncultured bacterium. Its description in RNAcentral is "partial 16S ribosomal RNA". It matches the Rfam family "Bacterial small subunit ribosomal RNA", at positions 524 to 776 of the family's 1533-position model. The record is from RNAcentral.
UACGUAGGGGGCUAGCGUUGUCCGGAAUCAUUGGGCGUAAAGCGCGCGUAGGCGGCCCGGUAAGUCCGCUGUGAAAGUCAAAGGCUCAACCUUUGAAUGUCAGCGGAUACUGCCGGGCUAGAGUCCGGAAGAGGCGAGUGGAACUCCUGGUGUAGCGGUGGAAUGCGCAGAUAUCGGGAGGAACACCGGUGGCGAAGGCGGUUCUCUGGGCCUUACCUGACGCUGAGGAGCGAAAGCGUGGGGAGCGAACAGG